This 236-nucleotide ribosomal RNA is filed under the name uncultured bacterium. RNAcentral's name for it is "partial 16S ribosomal RNA". It matches the Rfam family "Bacterial small subunit ribosomal RNA", at positions 541 to 776 of the family's 1533-position model. The record is from RNAcentral.
UUGUUCGGAAUUACUGGGCGUAAAGCGCACGUAGGCGGACUAUUACGUCAGGGGUGAAAUCCCGGGGCUCAACCCCGGAACUGCCUUUGAUACUGGUAGUCUCGAGUCCGGAAGAGGUGAGUGGAAUUCCGAGUGUAGAGGUGAAAUUCGUAGAUAUUCGGAGGAACACCAGUGGCGAAGGCGGCUCACUGGUCCGGUACUGACGCUGAGGUGCGAAAGCGUGGGGAGCAAACAGG